Molecule: long non-coding RNA, 1372 nt
Filed under: Cucumis sativus (cucumber)
Lineage: Eukaryota; Viridiplantae; Streptophyta; Magnoliopsida; Cucurbitales; Cucurbitaceae
Description: long non-coding RNA (CSAT_LNC000630)
Source: RNAcentral
GUUCUUUGAUUCCAUGGCGGAGGGUUUGAAAGGAGGAGAGCCUGGGGAAAGGAACAGGCAAGGGAUUUCAUGGAGACCUCUGAUUUGGUUAUUAAUUUGUGUGUGUUGUUUGUAAUGGUGGAAAUCUUAUCCCAAAGCUUUUAUGAGUUGGUCCAUGGUGAUUGGUGGUGUUUCAAUUUUCAUCCACGAAUAGAUAUGGAUUAAUUUAUUCUUCUUAGUUUUAUUUUUCAAGCAAAAUAAAUUCAAUUAUUAUUCUUAUUAAAAUGAAUUUUAAAUCACGUGCCCUCACUCCCUCGUUCACUCUUCAUCUUCUUCUUCACCUUUCAACAGCCGCCCGCCCUCUGUUUUGCUUUCUUUUUUUUAUCCGAUCAUAUCUCCCCGUCCGACGCUUGUUUGCUGUUCACAAAGUUUCAUUCUCCGUCGCGUCUCCCAUAGCCAAGCCGAAGCGUCUCUGUUUCAUCCGCAAGCCGUUCAGCGAGAUCCGACCGGCUCAGAUUUGUCUUCGUCCGCGAAGCGCCAGCCGCCGAGUUCCGCGUCGAUCUGUACUCCGUUCGAGCAUUUUUCUCAGAUCUGAGCAGCCUGCGCCUUGCUUUCUCCCUCACCGAGCCGCACAUCCGUCCGAGCCACGCCCCAAAUUCUGCUUUGAACGUCUUCAUUAGACUCAGUUCGUGCGCCACUGCCUCUGUCUUGCUGCGAAUCACUGUGACUUUGUUUGGUAGGGGUGAAAUUGUGGGUUAUGGCUACUUUUAAGUGUUAACCAUGGAGUAAUCAUUUGGAUUAAUACUUGAUUCUUGAGAAUACCAUUUGGGUAUAAUCCUCCAAUUCUUGAGUUUUCUAUGGCAGGAGUUUCUGGUUAAGUUUGUGGAUGUAGCAUUUGGGUGAAUUGAACAAGGGAAAUUGAUAUGUGAAAGGGUUAGUAACUUUCUUUUAGUAUAAUUGACUAGAAAUAUUAGAAUGAUAAAUGAACUAUGUUCUUUCCAUGGAGUCAUUUAAAAUUAUAUUAAAUAGAGUAGUGCAAUUUCAAUUUAAAAGUAAACACUAAUAAUGUAGAGAGAUAAAUUACAUAUUCAACCAUAACAAUCACUCUCAAAUCAUAUACUUUUUCUUCUCUAUGAAUCUCCUUGAAAAAAAUCUUAGAUCGCAUAUUCAGAUAAAAUAUAUUUCUAAAUAUGAUAUAGAAAUAAAUUUUAUAAAAAUGAAUUCAUAAGUUUAAUCAAUAGAACAAUUCAAUUCUUAAAAUAAAAUGUAACGAAAGAUAAAUAAGAAAACAUACACCUUCAGCUUGGGCUACUCAAAAAAUGAACAGGAAUAAAGAAAGAAAAUCUCUUAGCUUCUUUCGAACAAGUAGAAAUAUUGAUUAUUUGAAAAGUUG